This 309-nucleotide ribosomal RNA is filed under the name uncultured bacterium. RNAcentral's name for it is "partial 16S ribosomal RNA". It matches the Rfam family "Bacterial small subunit ribosomal RNA", at positions 504 to 809 of the family's 1533-position model. The record is from RNAcentral.
AGAGACAGCAGCCGCCGCGGUAAUACGAAGGGUGCAAGCGUUACUCGGAAUUACUGGGCGUAAAGCGUGCGUAGGUGGUGGUUUAAGUCCGUUGUGAAAGCCCUGGGCUCAACCUGGGAAUUGCAGUGGAUACUGGGUCACUAGAGUGUGGUAGAGGAUAGUGGAAUUUCCGGUGUAGCAGUGAAAUGCGUAGAGAUCGGAAGGAACAUCUGUGGCGAAGGCGACUAUCUGGGCCAACACUGACACUGAGGCACGAAAGCGUGGGGAGCAAACAGGAUUAGAUACCCCAGUAGUCCCUGUCUCUUAUAA